UACGUAGGGGGCUAGCGUUGUCCGGAUUUAUUGGGCGUAAAGAGCGUGUAGGCGGCCAGGUAGGUCUGGUGUGAAAACUCGAGGCUUAACCUCGAGAUGUCAUCGGAAACCAUCUGGCUAGAGUCCGGAAGAGGAGAGUGGAAUUCCUGGUGUAGCGGUGAAAUGCGUAGAGCUCGGGAAGAACAUCGGUGGCGAAAGCGCUCUGCUGGACUGCAACUGACACUCAGGGACGAAAGCUAGGGGAGCGAAUGGG
Molecule: ribosomal RNA, 253 nt
Filed under: uncultured bacterium
Lineage: Bacteria
Description: partial 16S ribosomal RNA
Rfam family: Bacterial small subunit ribosomal RNA
Source: RNAcentral